RNAcentral lists this ribosomal RNA (429 nucleotides) under Bacteroidota bacterium. RNAcentral's name for it is "Bacteroidetes bacterium partial 16S ribosomal RNA". It matches the Rfam family "Bacterial small subunit ribosomal RNA", at positions 355 to 776 of the family's 1533-position model. Lineage: Bacteria; Pseudomonadati; Bacteroidota. The record is from RNAcentral.
UAGGGAAUCUUCCGCAAUGGACGCAAGUCUGACGGAGCAACGCCGCGUGAGUGAAGAAGGAUUCCGGUUCGUAAAACUCUGUUGUUAGAGAAGAACAGCGCAUAGAGUAACUGUUAUGCGUGUGACGGUAUCUAACCAGAAAGCCACGGCUAACUACGUGCCAGCAGCCGCGGUAAUACGUAGGUGGCAAGCGUUGUCCGGAUUUAUUGGGCGUAAAGCGAGCGCAGGCGGUCAAUUAAGUCUGAUGUGAAAGCCCCCGGCUCAACCGGGGAGGGUCAUUGGAAACUGGUUGACUUGAGUGCAGAAGAGGAGAGUGGAAUUCCAUGUGUAACGGUGAAAUGCGUAGAUAUAUGGAGGAACACCAGUGGCGAAGGCGACUCUCUGGUCUGUAACUGACGCUGAGGCUCGAAAGCGUGGGUAGCAAACAGG